This 499-nucleotide ribosomal RNA is filed under the name uncultured Sphingobacteriales bacterium. Its description in RNAcentral is "bacterial SSU rRNA". It matches the Rfam family "Bacterial small subunit ribosomal RNA", at positions 903 to 1382 of the family's 1533-position model. Lineage: Bacteria; Pseudomonadati; Bacteroidota; Sphingobacteriia; Sphingobacteriales. The record is from RNAcentral.
CCUUGCCAGCCCGCUCAGAACUUAAAGGAAGUUGACGGGGCCCGCACAAGCGGUGAGCAUGUGGUUUAAUUCGAUGAUACGCGAGGAACCUUACCUGGGCUCAAAUGUAUGUUGACGUAUUCUGAAAGGGAUACUUCUUCGGACAAUAUACAAGGUGCUGCAUGGUUGUCGUCAGCUCGUGCCGUGAGGUGUCGGGUUAAGUCCCAUAACGAGCGCAACCCCUAUCAUUAGUUGCCAUCAGGUCAAGCUGGGGACUCUAAUGAAACUGCCUACGCAAGUAGUGAGGAAGGUGGGGAUGACGUCAAAUCAGCACGGCCCUUACGUCCAGGGCUACACACGUGCUACAAUGGCCGGUACAAAGGGCAGCUACCUGGUGACAGGAUGCUAAUCUCAAAAGCCGGUCUCAGUUCGGAUCGGAGUCUGCAACCCGACUCCGUGAAGCUGGAAUCGCUAGUAAUCGCGCAUCAGCCAUGGCGCGGUGAAUACGUUCCCGGGCCUU